Molecule: ribosomal RNA, 253 nt
Filed under: uncultured bacterium
Lineage: Bacteria
Description: partial 16S ribosomal RNA
Rfam family: Bacterial small subunit ribosomal RNA
Source: RNAcentral
UACGUAGGGGGCAAGCGUUGUCCGGAAUCAUUGGGCGUAAAGAGCGUGUAGGCGGCCAGAAAAGUCCGCUGUGAAAACUCGAGGCUCAACUUCGAGCUGUCGGUGGAAACUUUCUGGCUAGAGUCCGGAAGAGGAGAAUGGAAUUCCUGGUGUAGCGGUGGAAUGCGCAGAUAUCAGGAGGAACACCAAUGGCGAAGGCAGAUCUCUGGGCCGUAACUGACGCUGAGGAGCGAAAGCAUGGGGAGCGAACAGG